AGGAACUUGUUCCUUGGGUGGCGAGCGGCGGACGGGUGAGUAAUGCCUGGGAAAUUGCCCUGAUGUGGGGGAUAACCAUUGGAAACGAUGGCUAAUACCGCAUGAUGCCUACGGGCCAAAGAGGGGGACCUUCGGGCCUCUCGCGUCAGGAUAUGCCCAGGUGGGAUUAGCUAGUUGGUGAGGUAAUGGCUCACCAAGGCGACGAUCCCUAGCUGGUCUGAGAGGAUGAUCAGCCACACUGGAACUGAGACACGGUCCAGACUCCUACGGGAGGCAGCAGUGGGGAAUAUUGCACAAUGGGCGCAAGCCUGAUGCAGCCAUGCCGCGUGUAUGAAGAAGGCCUUCGGGUUGUAAAGUACUUUCAGUCGUGAGGAAGGUUGUAGUGUGAAUAGCACUAUGAUUUGACGUUAGCGACAGAAGAAGCACCGGCUAACUCCGUGCCAGCAGCCGCGGUAAUACGGAGGGUGCGAGCGUUAAUCGGAAUUACUGGGCGUAAAGCGCAUGCAGGUGGUUUGUUAAGUCAGAUGUGAAAGCCCUGGGCUCAACCUAGGAGUUGCAUUUGAAACUGACAAGCUAGAGUACUGUAGAGGGGGGUAG
Molecule: ribosomal RNA, 597 nt
Filed under: Vibrio sp. N67
Lineage: Bacteria; Pseudomonadati; Pseudomonadota; Gammaproteobacteria; Vibrionales; Vibrionaceae
Description: bacterial SSU rRNA
Rfam family: Bacterial small subunit ribosomal RNA
Source: RNAcentral